Long non-coding RNA from Magnolia sinica, 767 nucleotides. RefSeq lists it as uncharacterized. The transcript has 4 exons. The record is from RefSeq and is a predicted model, not a curated record. Lineage: Eukaryota; Viridiplantae; Streptophyta; Magnoliopsida; Magnoliales; Magnoliaceae.
UAAAGAGAUCCCAUGGGGUAAGACUGGUGCUGAGUAUGUUGCAGAAAGGAGGUCCAUAGAAAAUAACGAUGAGGGAUUGCUAUGUGUGCAGAAGACCAUGUUAUGAAUGAGCCGUUCUAAAUCCUGUUUUCCUAGACAGUUCUUCAAACUUUUUAUUCCGCUUAUUAAUGUUCCUUGAUACAAAUCAUGUCAUCCCUGUAUUUCUAUAUGGAGCAGCAAAUGAGCAAGCAAGGACCCUUGAUUCAACCAGUAGAAUUGCUAGACAGAUUUGGAUAAGGCUACACUAUUAAAGUUGAGAUCCAUGAUGGCCCGUACAAAGUCGUCAAGAACUGGAACUACAUUGCAUUGAUUAACACCAUCCACAAUGGCGAAGGCAAAUGUUGGAUAGCCAAGGUUAUGUGAAGGUGGGGAGCACUUAGAAUACUUUUCAGAUGGAACCGAUGCUUCAUGAGGAAGUCCUGCGGCAAACACUCCCUAAGUAAUUCUUUUGUCUUGAAGCAUUUUUUGUAGUUUAAUAUUUCAUGACUUUUUCUUUUCUCUUUUGUUUUGUGGGUAAGCUGGAAUCAAGCCCAUGACUUCAUUCUCGUAGUCUUUCUCUUUACCACAUGAACAUUGGGUAUGGUUUGAAUCUUGGAGCUGAGACUUUGUAUUCUACUGAGUCACUCAAUUUUUCUAGAAACCAAGCACCGAAUGAUGUAGUAAACUCACUUUGUGCUCUCGUGGUUUGGUUCUAGCUUCAUUAUUGACUUGGUUAGGAACCAACUCAA